Lutra lutra (Eurasian river otter) is the source of this 1631-nucleotide non-coding RNA. NCBI's taxonomy places the organism in Eukaryota, Metazoa, Chordata, Mammalia, Carnivora, Mustelidae. The record is from the annotation of a RefSeq genome assembly.
UGCAGCUGGUGGAGUCUCUGGGAGAGGAGCCCCAGCACCAGGAUUCCCAGGUGUUCCAGUCAGUACUCAGGACAGGAUACAGAAAACUCACCAUGGAGUUUGUGCUUGGCUGGGUUUUCCUUGUUGCUCUUUUAAAAGGUGUCAAGUGCGAGGUGCAGCUGGUGGAGUCUGGGGGAGACCUGGUGAAGCCUGGGGGGUCCCUGAGACUCUCCUGUGCAGCCUCUGGAUUCACCUUCAGUAACUAUCACAUGAGCUGGGUCCGCCAGGCUCCAGGGAAGGGGCUGCAGUGGGUCGCCGUUAUUGGUAUGAUGGAAGUAGCACAUACUAUGCAGACUCUGUGAAGGGCCAAUUCACCAUCUCCAGAGACAAUGGCAAGAACAUGCUGUAUCUGCAGAUGAACAGCCUGAGAGCCGAGGACACGGCCGUGUAUUAUUGUGCCACACUGGAUUAUUGUGGUCGCGACAGCUGCCCGGGCGCUUUUGGUUACUGGGGCCAGGGUACCCUGGUCACCGUGUCCUCAGAGCCCAAAGCCAGCCCCACUCUCUUCCCGCUGAGCCUCAGAAGCCGUGACGAAGCCGGGCACGUGGUCAUCGCCUGCCUGGUGCAGGGGUUCUUCCCACCGGAGCCCGUGAACGUGACCUGGAGCCCCGGCAAGGAGGGCGCGUCCGUCAGGAACUUCCCCCCUGUGAAGGCCACGGCCAGCAGUCUGUACACCAUGAGCAGCCAGCUGACCCUGCCAGCCGACCAGUGCCCUGUCGAGUCGUCCCUGCAGUGCCACGUUCAGCACCUCUCCGACCCCAGCAAGCCUGUGUCUGUGCCCUGCCAAGUUCCAGGCCCAAGUCCCCCGCCUUGUCCUUGUCCCUCAUGUAACCAGCCCCACCUGUCACUUCACCCGCCCGCCCUUGAGGAUCUGCUUCUGGGCUCCAAUGCCAGCCUCACGUGCACGCUGAGUGGCCUGAAAGACCCCAAGGGAGCCUCCUUCAGCUGGACGCCCUCCGGGGGGAAGGACGCGGUCCAGAAGGCCCCCGAGCGGGACUCCUGCGGCUGCUACAGCGUGUCCAGCGUGCUGCCAGGCUGCGCAGAGCCGUGGAACCGUGGGGUCACCUUCUCCUGCACGGCCACCCACCCCGAGUCCAAGAGCCCGAUAACCGGCAACAUCAGCAAACUCCCAGGAAACACCUUCCGGCCCCAGGUCCACCUGCUGCCGCCGCCGUCGGAGGAGCUGGCCCUCAACGAGCUGGUGUCGCUGACCUGCUUGGUGAGGGGCUUCAGCCCCAAGGACGUGCUGGUCCGCUGGCUACAGGGGACCCAGGAGCUGCCCCCGGAGAAGUACACGACCUGGGACUCCCUGAAGGAGCCCGGCCAGGGCGUCCCCACCUUCGCCGUGACCAGCGUGCUGCGGGUCGACGCUGAGGCCUGGAAGCAGGGGGACAAGUUCUCCUGUAUGGUGGGCCACGAGGCCCUGCCCCUGUCCUUCACCCAGAAGACCAUCGACCGCCUGGCGGGUAAACCCACCCACGUCAACGUGUCUGUGGUCAUGGCAGAGGUGGACGGCGUCUGCUACUGAAACGCCCACCCGUCCUCCCUGAAUAAAGUCCGUGUUCGCCCGGAGUGACCCCGGGCCCCCCUGA